GGUCGUCGAGAGGCUCCUAGAGAAGUGUUUUCCGCGUUGGACCGUGUAUAAGUCUCUUGGAACAGAGCGUCAUAGAGGGUGAGAAUCCCGUCUUUGACACGGACUACCAAUGCUUUGUGAUACACUCUCAAAGAGUCGAGUUGUUUGGGAAUGCAGCUCAAAAUGGGUGGUAAAUUCCAUCUAAAGCUAAAUAUUGGCGAGAGACCGAUAGCGAACAAGUACCGUGAGGGAAAGAUGAAAAGCACUUUGGAAAGAGAGUUAAACAGUACGUGAAAUUGCUGAAAGGGAAACGAUUGAAGUCAGUCGCGUUAGCUAGAACUCAACCAGGCUUGCUUGGCGUAUUUUCUAGUUAACGGGCCAGCAUCAGUUUUGACUGCAGGAAAAAGGCCAGGGAAAUGUGGCACCUUCGGGUGUGUUAUAGUCUUUGGUCAUAUACUGCGAUUGGGACUGAGGUUCGCAGCACGCGCAAGCUGUGCUUAGGAUGAUGGCGUAAUGGCUUUAAACGACCCG
Molecule: ribosomal RNA, 510 nt
Filed under: Irpex laceratus
Lineage: Eukaryota; Fungi; Basidiomycota; Agaricomycetes; Polyporales; Irpicaceae
Description: eukaryotic LSU rRNA
Rfam family: Eukaryotic large subunit ribosomal RNA
Source: RNAcentral